GAGUAACACGUGAGCAACCUGCCUUUCAGAGGGGGAUAACGGCUGGAAACGGUCGCUAAUACCGCAUGACGUGUUCGGAUGGCAUCAUCUGAACAUCAAAGAUUUAUCGCUGAAAGAUGGGCUCGCGUCUGAUUAGAUAGUUGGUGGGGUAACGGCCUACCAAGUCGACGAUCAGUAGCCGGACUGAGAGGUUGAACGGCCACAUUGGGACUGAGAUACGGCCCAGACUCCUACGGGAGGCAGCAGUGGGGAAUAUUGCACAAUGGGGGAAACCCUGAUGCAGCAACGCCGCGUGAAGGAUGACGGUUUUCGGAUUGUAAACUUCUUUUCUUAGUGACGAAGAAGUGACGGUAGCUAAGGAAUAAGCAUCGGCUAACUACGUGCCAGCAGCCGCGGUAAUACGUAGGAUGCAAGCGUUAUCCGGAUUUACUGGGUGUAAAGGGAGCGCAGGCGGGACUGCAAGUUGGAUGUGAAAUACCGUGGCUUAACCACGGAACUGCAUCCAAAACUGUAGUUCUUGAGUGAAGUAGAGGCAAGCGGAAUUCCGAGUGUAGCGGUGAAAUGCGUAGAUAUUCGGAGGAACACCAGUGGCGAAGGCGGCUUGCUGGGCUUUAACUGACGCUGAGGCUCGAAAGUGUGGGGAGCAAACAGGAUUAGAUACCCUGGUAGUCCACACUGUAAACGAUGAUAGCUAGGUGUGGGGGGUCUGACCCCUUCCGUGCCGGAGUUAACGCAAUAAGCUAUCCACCUGGGGAGUACGACCGCAAGGUUGAAACUCAAAG
RNAcentral lists this ribosomal RNA (782 nucleotides) under human gut metagenome. RNAcentral describes it as "bacterial SSU rRNA". It matches the Rfam family "Bacterial small subunit ribosomal RNA", at positions 108 to 906 of the family's 1533-position model. The record is from RNAcentral.